CACGGGGUUGCGAGCGUUGUCCGGAAUUACUAGGCGUAAAGGGCAGGCAGGCGGAUCCAUAAGUUUAUCGUUUAAGGCGUCGGCUUAACCGGCGUAGGGCGGUAGAUACUGUGGAUCUGGAAUGCGGUUGGGGAAGACAGAAUUCCUGGUGUAGCGGUGGAAUGCGCAGAGAUCAGGAGGAAUACCGAAGGCGAAGGCAGUCUUCCAAGCCGUUAUUGACGCUCAACUGCGAAGGUGUGGGUACCAAACAGGAUUAGAUACCCUGGUAGUCCCUGAG
This 277-nucleotide ribosomal RNA is filed under the name uncultured prokaryote. RNAcentral describes it as "partial 16S ribosomal RNA". It matches the Rfam family "Bacterial small subunit ribosomal RNA", at positions 524 to 801 of the family's 1533-position model. The record is from RNAcentral.